RNAcentral lists this ribosomal RNA (453 nucleotides) under Triticum aestivum (bread wheat). Its description in RNAcentral is "partial small subunit ribosomal RNA". Lineage: Eukaryota; Viridiplantae; Streptophyta; Magnoliopsida; Poales; Poaceae. The record is from RNAcentral.
AUGCUAUUCAGUUUUAAGUUAAAACAGAAGACAGAAACAAAAUUUCAGAGCAGGGAGCAGCAGAAGCAACCUGCAACUUCUUUAGAGAAGAACUCGAAGGCACGUACUCCACCGGCUGCAGGGGAGAAGCAGAAGCACGAGCUCGACCGGCUCCAGAAGCACGAGCACCGCCGUUUUUUGUUCACCGGAGAAGCUACCGUGACGAGCUUCAGCGGCGGCAAGCGGAGGACCACGACGGCCGGGCCAACCAGCAAGGAAACGAGUGGGGAAUUGAGAGGGGACGGCGUAGCUCUCGGCGCGGCGGAGCUCGGACUGGCUCGGGGAGGACUGAGGUCGCCCGUCGGCGUCGAGCUCGUGGGGGCAGCGGCGGUCGUGGUGGGAGGAGAUGGCUUCGAUUCCAUUGAUCCACGGCCGGAGGCAGCGGAGAAGCUUCAGGAGAUUCUUGGGGGAUAA